CGUGUAGGCGGCUAAUUAAGUCAGGCGUGAAAUCUAUGGGCUUAACCCAUAAAUUGCGUUUGAAACUGGUUGGCUUGAGGAUCGGAGAGGGCAGUGGAAUUCCCAGUGUAGCGGUGAAAUGCGUAGAUAUUGGGAGGAACACCAGUGGCGAAGGCGACUGCCUGGACGACACCUGACGCUGAGGCGCGAAAGCUAGGGGAGCAAACGGGAUUAGAUACCCCGGUAGUCCUAGCCGUAAACGAUGGGUACUAGGUGUGGGAGGUAUCGACCCCUUCCGUGCCGCAGUUAACACAAUAAGUACCCCGCCUGGGGAGUACGGCCGCAAGGUUGAA
Molecule: ribosomal RNA, 332 nt
Filed under: uncultured bacterium
Lineage: Bacteria
Description: bacterial SSU rRNA
Rfam family: Bacterial small subunit ribosomal RNA
Source: RNAcentral